RNAcentral lists this transfer RNA (73 nucleotides) under Camelus bactrianus (Bactrian camel). It matches the Rfam family "tRNA". Rfam says of the family: Transfer RNA (tRNA) molecules are approximately 80 nucleotides in length. Their secondary structure includes four short double-helical elements and three loops (D, anti-codon, and T loops). RNAcentral also lists the same sequence under 3 other names. The record is from Rfam by way of RNAcentral. Lineage: Eukaryota; Metazoa; Chordata; Mammalia; Artiodactyla; Camelidae.
GAGGGUAUAGCUCAGAUGGUAGAGCACAUGCUUGGUAUGUAUAAGGUCCUGGAUUCAAUCCCUAGCACCUCCU